Molecule: ribosomal RNA, 288 nt
Filed under: uncultured bacterium
Lineage: Bacteria
Description: partial 16S ribosomal RNA
Rfam family: Bacterial small subunit ribosomal RNA
Source: RNAcentral
CCUACGGGACGCAGCAGUGAGGAAUAUUGGUCAAUGGACGAGAGUCUGAACCAGCCAAGUAGCGUGAAGGAUGACUGCCCUAUGGGUUGUAAACUUCUUUUAUAUGGGAAUAAAGCUUUCCACGUGUGGAAUUUUGUAUGUACCAUAUGAAUAAGGAUCGGCAAACUCCGUGCCAGCAGCCGCGGUAAUACGGAGGAUCCGAGCGUUAUCCGGAUUUAUUGGGUUUAAAGGGAGCGAAGGGGGAGUGUUAAGUCAGUUGUGAAAGUUUGCGGCUCAACCGGAAAAUUG